This 305-nucleotide ribosomal RNA is filed under the name uncultured bacterium. Its description in RNAcentral is "bacterial SSU rRNA". It matches the Rfam family "Bacterial small subunit ribosomal RNA", at positions 333 to 656 of the family's 1533-position model. The record is from RNAcentral.
GGUCUCCUACGGGGGGCAGCAGUGGGGGAUAUUGCACAAUGGGGGGAACCCUGAUGCAGCGACGCCGCGUGAGUGAGGAAGUAUUUCGGUAUGUAAAGCUCUGUCAGCAGGGAAGAAAUGACGGUACCUGACCAAGAAGCCCCGGCUAACUACGUGCCAGCAGCCGCGGUAAUACGUAGGGGGCAAGCGUUAUCCGGAUUUACUGGGUGUAAAGGGAGCGUAGACGGCGAUGCAAGCCAGGAGUGAAAGCCCGGGGCUCAACCCCGGGACUGCAUUUGGAACUGUGCCGCUAGAGUGUCGGAGAG